Myiozetetes cayanensis is the source of this 401-nucleotide long non-coding RNA. RefSeq lists it as uncharacterized. The record is from RefSeq and is a predicted model, not a curated record. The transcript is spliced from 4 exons. Lineage: Eukaryota; Metazoa; Chordata; Aves; Passeriformes; Tyrannidae.
CUUCUUCUUUUUUUUUUUUUAAUCCUCUUUUCUUUUUUUCCCUCCCUUUUCCUCCCUCCCUCUCCCCGCAGUCGGGACUGGAGUCUCCUCAGGAUAACCUCGGUGCCUUCGCAGCCGCAGUCAAAACCACAUUAUCUAUGUUAUCAUCUGUAUGAUCCUGAGAGGCACUUUGCAGUUCCCAGGAACAGGAGUAUGAAUUGUGACUAUUAAUGCGUCUACCAUACCAAAGAGAGAUUCUAGCUGGAAGAAACAAUCAAUGCAGUGCUUGUCUGAAAGCUGUGGCACCACCUUGUGGAUGUUACUACACACAGUGAGAACUUGACUACUGGAAAUGAAAACAACAAAAACAGGCGUUUUGGAAAAACAACUACAGUCACACAUGAUUUGCUAAAGCAGAGCAG